RNAcentral lists this ribosomal RNA (403 nucleotides) under uncultured bacterium. Its description in RNAcentral is "bacterial SSU rRNA". It matches the Rfam family "Bacterial small subunit ribosomal RNA", at positions 356 to 773 of the family's 1533-position model. The record is from RNAcentral.
GGGGAAUAUUGCACAAUGGGGGAAACCCUGAUGCAGCAACGCCGCGUGAAGGAUGAAGGUUUUCGGAUUGUAAACUUCUUUGAUGAGGGACGAAACAAAUGACGGUACCUCAAAAACAAGCCACGGCUAACUACGUGCCAGCAGCCGCGGUAAUACGUAGGUGGCGAGCGUUGUCCGGAAUUACUGGGUGUAAAGGGCGUGUAGGCGGGGAGACAAGUCAGAUGUGAAAUACCGAGGCUUAACUUCGGGGCUGCAUCUGAAACUGUUUUUCUUGAGUGUCGGAGAGGAAAGUGGAAUUCCCAGUGUAGCGGUGAAAUGCGUAGAUAUUGGGAGGAACACCAGUGGCGAAGGCGACUUUCUGGACGACAACUGACGCUGAGGCGCGAAAGCGUGGGGAGCAAAC